Long non-coding RNA from Poeciliopsis prolifica (blackstripe livebearer), 735 nucleotides. RefSeq lists it as uncharacterized. The record is from RefSeq and is a predicted model, not a curated record. NCBI's taxonomy places the organism in Eukaryota, Metazoa, Chordata, Actinopteri, Cyprinodontiformes, Poeciliidae. The transcript has 2 exons.
GGCUACAGAAAUUGGAGGAGCAUCCUUAGAUGACACAAUACAACCAGCUGUGCGAUUCCUCAUGUCCCAUGAACUGGAAGUCCAGUUCAACCUUUUUGGCCAACAUUGGAAACAAGCUCUUGGACCUGCGUCUCUUUGAUGUUUUGUAUGGGGACUUAAAAGAAAUUAUCCAUCUACAGAAUCACACAAGCAUACAGCAAAGACUCUCGAAGUGGUUUACUGGAGCCCGAGUGGAAGUGGAAAUAGACUAGAGAGACUGCCAGUUCAAACUCAGGUUGGGGAGGUCUUUCAAGAUGGACAGUUUCAGUAAAGUAUGAGAGAUUUCAAAUUUAAGCAUGCAUAUGGCAUGUAGGUUAUUUUUAAAAAUGUUUAACAAAAAUGUAUUGUGAAAGAUCUAUAUAGGUGUGUAUAUUCACAUUGUGUGUAUCAAUGUGAAUAUACGUGUAUAAAGUUAUAUAGAUAGUAUUUAGAUGUAUACAUUUAUAGACCUGUAGGAAAAUAUGUAGGUGUCUUUAUUUGUGUGCAUCUAUAGAUAUAUAUUUAUAGAUCUGUUUAUAAGUUUGUUAUAGUAAACUAGCUUCUGUUAUUUUCAAAGAUGUCGUGAAUAAUUGCAGAUUUCUUUUUGUGGCACCAUUCCCUGAGUAUUAAUGAAGUUCUAAUAAUUGCUGUAGUGAGGUAAAAAAUAACUCCUGACAAUAUUUUAAAUUACUAAAUAAAAGCCUUGAGCAAAAUAAA